GUCUGAAUUGGCGGCACCUGACUAGAUUACUAAGUUAAUGGAAACUCCAAUGCGUCCCACUUGUCCCUCCUCUUCCUUCUGCUUCUUCUAAUCCUUUCUCUCUCUCUCUCUCUCCAUUUCUGUGUCGUAUUGACACAUUCAAAUCUCAUCCUUCCAAUAAAAAAAACCUAAAUUCCAAUUCCACCGUUAGCCCUCUCUCGCUCUGUCUAUCUCUUACUCUCUCAUACAUUGAUGCUCUUCUUAUCUCUCUCCGUUUCAAUAUCCAUCUUCGUCUCCCUACCCUAAUUUUUUUUUUUUCCCUUCUUUUUCAAUGGCUUCUCUAGCCCACGAAAACCUCGACCAUGACGAUGAUCACGAACACUAUCGCAACCAUCACCACCACCACCACCACGCCAACAAUCUCAACGGUGAUUCCAGAACCCAUUUACCCAAAAAGCCCAGGCUUUCUUUCUUCACCGAAUCCGAAAUCGCCACCGAGUUCGCUCACCACGACUCCGACGUUGCUCGGAUCAACAACGGUAGUUUCGGUUGCUGUCCCGCUUCCGUUCUCGAAGCCCAGAAGGUUUGGCAGCACAAGUUUCUCGCUCAGCCUGAUGAUUUCUACUUCAACGAGCUCAAGAAGGGGAUUCAUCGUUCCAGGUCCAUAAUCAAGGAAAUCAUCAAUGCCGAACACGUCGACGAGGUCUCUCUUGUCGACAACGCCACCACCGCCGCCGCCGUUGUCCUCCAGCAGACCUCCUGGGCUUUCUCCGAAGGCAGAUUCGACAAAGGCGAUGCCAUCGUUAUGCUUCAUUACGCUUAUGGUGCCGUCAAGAAGUCCAUCGAGGCGUAUGUUACACGUGCCGGCGGGUAUGUAAUCGAGGUCCCUCUGCCUUUUCCGGUGAGUUCCAACGAUGAGAUUGUGACUGAAUUUAGGAAGGCUUUGGAGAAAGGAAAAGCUAAUGGUAGGAGGGUUAGGCUUGCUGUGAUUGACCAUGUGACAUCCAUGCCUUGUGUCGUAAUACCCAUCAAGGAAUUGGUUAAGAUUUGCAGGGAAGAAGGCGUUGACCAGGUUUUUGUUGAUGCUGCUCAUGGAAUUGGCUGCACUGCUGUUGAUAUGAAAGAGAUUGGAGCUGAUUUCUAUGCUAGUAAUUUGCACAAAUGGUUCUUUUGCCCACCUUCCGUGGCGUUUUUGUAUUGUAGGAAGUCACCCAAGUUGUCUGAAUUGCACCACCCUGUAGUGUCUCAUGAGUAUGGUAAUGGGUUGGCAAUAGAGAGUGCCUGGAUUGGGACAAGGGAUUAUAGUCCUCAGCUUGUUGUCCCUUCGGUUUUGGAUUUCGUAAAUAAGUUCGAAGGUGGUUUGGAGGGAAUUAAGAAGAGGAACCAUGAUGCUGUCGUUGAGAUGGGUGAGAUGUUAGCAAAAGAGUGGGGGACUCAUCUUGGGUGCCCUCCUGAUAUGUGUGCAAGCAUGAUCAUGAUUGGAUUGCCUGCUUGUUUGGGAAUUUUGACUGAGAAAGAUACUUUGAAGUUGAGGUCUCAUUUGAGAGAGAAAUUUGGUGUUGAAGUUCCAAUAUAUUUCCGAGCCCCUAGAAAUAGUGAGGAUGUAACAAUAACCGGGUAUGCUCGCAUUUCGUAUCAAGUCUAUAACAAAGUUGAUGACUAUAACAAGUUUAAAGAUGCUAUUAACAAACUCGUUAGUGAUGGAUUCACCUGUUCCCUUCUCACUACAUGAUAAGGUUCACACUACGUAUUACGUAAUAUGAGGCUCUUGUUAGCCACCAAAUAUGGAGGAAGCCGAACAAUGGUUUCCAAAUUCUCUAAUGUUGCAAGGUUCUUGGUUCUUGCAAAUAGUUGAGUGAGGCACUGAAGAAGUCUAUCUGAAUAAGGCCUAUGGUUCUCUGCAACUCUCGCAUGCUUGGCUGGUAGCUAUGGUUUCGAUACCAUUACUGCCCAGAAUAGUAGAGAAACAAACCUUAAAGGUGCAUGUAGGGGAGCAGAAAGAGAGUUUCAUCUUCACCGUUUUUUAUGAUUGUUAUUUAUGAAGAUGAGGAACUAUCAAUUGAGCCUUAGGUGUCUUGUAAAUGUUUCUUGACUGUUUGUAAUUUGCAUGCUGUUAAAGCCGGCAAUUGAGAUAUACUUCUUCAGCUUCAGGCUAACAAAAUGAAGUCUCUUUAGGCUAACUUCUGGA
This is an RNA transcript of Ziziphus jujuba (common jujube), 2167 nucleotides long. It is a transcript of the gene named probable L-cysteine desulfhydrase, chloroplastic, with no coding region annotated. The transcript has 3 exons. The record is from RefSeq and is a predicted model, not a curated record. NCBI's taxonomy places the organism in Eukaryota, Viridiplantae, Streptophyta, Magnoliopsida, Rosales, Rhamnaceae.